GGUCAAGCGAAUAAGAGCGAAUGGUGGAUACCAGCCCCCCNAGAGAGAAUA
This 51-nucleotide ribosomal RNA is filed under the name Nostoc sp. 3H3. Its description in RNAcentral is "partial 23S ribosomal RNA". The record is from RNAcentral. Lineage: Bacteria; Bacillati; Cyanobacteriota; Cyanophyceae; Nostocales; Nostocaceae.